CAGCCGCCGCGGGAAUACGGAGGGGGCUAGCGUUGUUCGGAAUUACUGGGCGUAAAGGGCGCGUAGGCGGUUUGGCAAGUUUGGUGUGAAAUCUUCGGGCUCAACUCGAAGUCUGCAUCGAAAACUGCCGGGCUUGAGUAUGGGAGAGGUGAGUGGAAUUUCCGGUGUAGCGGUGAAAUGCGUAGAUAUCGGAAGGAACACCUGUGGCGAAAGCGGCUCACUGGACCAUUACUGACGCUGAGGCGCGAAAGCUAGGGGAGCAAACAGGAUUAGAUACCCCAGUAGUCCCUGUCUCUUAUAC
Molecule: ribosomal RNA, 301 nt
Filed under: uncultured bacterium
Lineage: Bacteria
Description: partial 16S ribosomal RNA
Rfam family: Bacterial small subunit ribosomal RNA
Source: RNAcentral